RNAcentral lists this ribosomal RNA (253 nucleotides) under uncultured bacterium. RNAcentral describes it as "partial 16S ribosomal RNA". It matches the Rfam family "Bacterial small subunit ribosomal RNA", at positions 524 to 776 of the family's 1533-position model. The record is from RNAcentral.
UACAGAGGGGGCUAGCGUUGUUCGGAAUCAUUGGGCGUAAAGGGCGCGUAGGCGGCCUUCUAAGUCGAACGUGAAAUCCCUGGGCUCAACCCAGGAACUGCGUCCGAUACUGGUUGGCUUGAAUCCGGGAGAGGGAUGUGGAAUUCCAGGUGUAGCGGUGAAAUGCGUAGAUAUCUGGAGGAACACCGGUGGCGAAGGCGACAUCCUGGACCGGCAUUGACGCUGAGGCGCGAAAGCCAGGGGAGCAAACGGG